AGAGUUUGAUCCUGGCUCAGAUUGAACGCUGGCGGAAUGCUUUACACAUGCAAGUCGAACGGCAGCAUAGGUGCUUGCACCUGAUGGCGAGUGGCGAACGGGUGAGUAAUACAUCGGAACGUGCCCAGUCGUGGGGGAUAACGUAGCGAAAGUUACGCUAAUACCGCAUACGAUCUACGGAUGAAAGCGGGGGACCGUAAGGCCUCGCGCGAUUGGAGCGGCCGAUGUUAGAUUAGGUAGUUGGUGGGGUAAAGGCUCACCAAGCCGACGAUCUAUAGCUGGUCUGAGAGGAUGAUCAGCCACACUGGGACUGAGACACGGCCCAGACUCCUACGGGAGGCAGCAGUGGGGAAUUUUGGACAAUGGGCGCAAGCCUGAUCCAGCCAUUCCGCGUGCAGGACGAAGGCCUUCGGGUUGUAAACUGCUUUUGUACAGAACGAAAAGCUCUGGGUUAAUACCCUGGGGUCAUGACGGUACUGUAAGAAUAAGCACCGGCUAACUACGUACCAGCAGCCGCGGUAAU
This 523-nucleotide ribosomal RNA is filed under the name uncultured bacterium. RNAcentral's name for it is "bacterial SSU rRNA". It matches the Rfam family "Bacterial small subunit ribosomal RNA", at positions 8 to 524 of the family's 1533-position model. The record is from RNAcentral.